Molecule: long non-coding RNA, 11149 nt
Organism: Mus musculus (house mouse)
Lineage: Eukaryota; Metazoa; Chordata; Mammalia; Rodentia; Muridae
Product: predicted gene, 37053
Exons: 2
Source: RefSeq, a predicted model, not a curated record
UACACACUAUAUAUGUAUAUAUACAUACCAUAUAUAUGCAUAAUAUGUAUAUGUAUAUUUCUCCUUUGAAUUUCAAUAGACAUUCUAAGGUUCUAAUACAUUGUAGGUCAUAUGAAGCUAAGCCUCAACCCUAGCUGCUCUUGCAGAGGACUUUGUUUUGUUUCUCAGCAUCCACAUUAGAUAGCUUACAGCUGACUAUACUUCAGUUUUGAGGGACCUAGCACCUUCUUCUGGGCUCCAUGGGUACCUGCGUGCAUGUAGUACACAUACAUACACUCUCAGGCACAUGCACCUAAAAUAAAACUCUGAAAUAUACACAUUGUAAAACAGAAUAGGUUUAGUGCUUUAAGGACAUUAGAGUUUAAGGUGAUGUAGAAAUACUGGUGGAUGAUAACAAUGCUGGAAGUCAGACAAGUGGACCAACAAGGUGGUGCAAUCGUACUGUAUAAAUGCUAAACUAAUCAGGACUCUGAUUAAACAGCUGACUAAGUUACUUGAAAAAAGAAUCAUAAAUGUAGACUUGUAAGUGAACUUAGAUAUUCUUCAUCUCACCAAUGAUAAAAAUACCAAUUAAGCAAAGCAAGAUAUGAAUUUUCUCUCUUUCUAGUAAAAAAAUGUUUUUAAAAUAAUUCCAAAUGUAGCAUGAUCCAUUUUGUAGCAAGCAUGCUUCUCUCUGUGUGUGUGUGUGUGUGUGUGUGUGUGUGUGUCUGUGUGUCUGUGUGUGUGUGAGUGUGUCAUGAUCAAUGACAGCAGAUCUAUCUGAAUAGAUAUAGACAUUUCCAAGUUGUGUUCGAAUGGUAUACCAAUUGACAGUUCCUCCGGCAACUUGUGAUGGUUCCUUUUUCUGGUUCCUACCAAAAGGCUGAUGCCUUUGGAUUGCAGGAGAGUCCAGCUCUCAGGUCUCUUGGAAAUACAAACAUCUCGACUGACAAGGGACCACACAAGACCCUCCCAUGUCAUGUCUGAGGGAAGUGACUAAGAGAAGACCACAGUUUACUGGGUUGAGUUCUGGGGAAGUAUUAUUUAUAGAAGUGUGCCCUAGGGCCCGAAGUAUAAUAUUAUUUUUAGUGUGAUUGAAAAAAAGAACCUGACAUUAUUUGGCUACUGGGGAUUCUGGAAAUUUCCUUUGGACUUUACUUUCCUCCUUUGGAGUUUUUGGUCACAAAACUUUGGCUUUUUCUGAGAACUCUGGAACGUGCAACUCUGACUUGAACCAUUCAGAUAUCAAGGUGAGAGCCAGCUCGGUUUGUGUUUUCAAAGCUUGGAAAAUGUCUUGCAUGUGACAGAGAGAACUCAAAGCAGAUGAGAGGAUAGCAUCUCACUGAGGUCUACUUGAGUUACUGGGAUGCUGGGCUCAGUUCUGCCCCCUGUGGCCUCCUCAAAGUCAUGCCUGCCUGGUCCGAGCUCACCUUCAAGAAUGCAUGCCUCCUUACUGUCGUCAGUCUCACAUCUUCUCCUCCGUGUUCCUCUCUCCCCACUCCUCCCCUCAUCUCCCUCAUCUUUCCAACUCUCUAAGAAGCUUGACUCUUGUAUCAUUACCUCUGAGAGUGCAUGCUUUGGCCUGUUGACCCCCUCUCCACAUCAUUCUGGAAGCAACUCCUUUGACUAGUCUCAACUCUCUUCAUGCCUACUUUCUCUACUGAUAGACUUUCUAACAAAACUAACUGCUUUGCUCCCAUCUCCCUUUAAUACUUUUCCUGAUAUCAUUCUGAGACCUUGAGGUCUCUGAAGGCAAUAGGCCCCCUUGCACUUUGAGAUAGGCCACAUCUUAGAUUCUGUCAUCCAGAGGAUGCUCAGCAAUCUGUUCUGUGAAAGAAUGUCUGUAGUUGGGGCUCAGCAGAUGAGGCUCUCUGGGUGACAGCAGGUCCUAGAGCAGAGAGGACAGCAGGUAGGACACGUGGAAGCUAGUUCCUCGUUGUGCCAGGCUGUUCUCGGUAUGAGGGAAAGUCUUGCUCCCUAAUUCCGAAUUCACUGACAUCCUGGAUGAGGCAGGCUGAUCAUCAUUUUGAUAUGUGUGUGGUUUGAUGUGUACAGCCUGUCUUGAACACAGUAGCCCUGUGGUUUGCCUUUUACUAAGAAUUGCUUCCUUUUUCUUCCUUUUCUCAGAAAAGGCUGGGCUCAUGAACUAAGGUCUUUCUCGUGAGUUCAUCAGCCGUGGUUACUGUGUGAAUACCUAUGGGCCUUAAGAUCAAACAGCCACCCAGCCCAGGUGAUUUGAAUACUAAUUGUACUGACUACUGUCGUAUUGACCACAUGAUGCUAGAAUGAGAUAUUUACCAAUAAAACCAUCCAUGUGGCUGGCCCUCCCUGCUACUGUGAGCAAUUUGCCUGUUGUCAUAUGUUUUUGUUUGAGAAUCUGAAACCAACCUUUGCAUUGCAGGAGGGAAAGAGCUUAUGCAGACACUGGGCUGGUUGGCCUGCUGUUUCCUUUCCCUGUUCUCAGGAUUCCACCCACUUCUGACUUCAGCACCUACUCCUGACUGAGAGAGCAAGUGUGUUCACAGAGUUGAACUUUAUGUCCUUCCUCGCUCCCACUUCCUUUCUACAGUUUACUCUCGUGUACACGGAGCAGCCUUCAUUUGGAAAAGGUUGGAAUUUUGACCUGAGGCACUGAGACUGGGCUCCUGUGUUGCUUGUGACCAAUGACCAGGAGACCUGGAGUUUUAGAAUCACUAAAGUGAGACACCCUGUUCUGUGUGGCUCUUGGGGCAUUACUUCUUUCUUUGUUCUUUUAGAAAGCUCAGUUUUUUGUUUGUUUGUUUGCUUGUUUAAUUAAAUGCAGUUUUUAGGCAUUAGAAGUUCUCUCAGAUAACAGAGGAGCACAAGAAAUAUCAUUUUCUACAACCCCAUACAUUAGAACCCAAUGCAAAAAAGAGGAGUCUCAGGCUUACAUUUCUAACAAAGCCUGAUUGCAGCCUAAUAAAAUCCUGGGCAGGAAAGUUGUGGAGCAUAUGAGUUUGGUGAUGGCACAGCCUCGCAUCCUCACUACUGUGUACUGGCAUCGUGUGGUUCCAAGAUGCUGGCAAAGAGGUCACCAGUAUGGAGACUGAGACCUCAUCCAGGUUAGCACACGGCCAGAUGCCAUCUCUGCACCUGAGCAUUCUGGAGGACAAGAACUAGAUCUCUGCAGCUAUGCACAUCAGAAGGACUCUCCCACCAAAAUAAAAUAGAAACGGUUAAGGAUUGCUGCCCAAAUCCCCACAGAAAUCUUGUCAAAGUCAAAAGGUGUAAACUUAAAAUACAGGUAUCAACUCUGCCAAUGAAUGAUGCCACGCAGUGACUUUAUGGGCUCAAAAAAUAGAGAUUUGAGUCAAGAGACGCUGAGGGUCAGCUGUCAUCAGAGGCUGCUUACUGAGGGCUUUGGAAAGAGUGAAGAAAUGGUGACUGAAUGAAUUAAGGGUUGAGAGUGAGAAUAGGCUUUGUCCUCAGGAUCAGGUGAAAUGAGAGAAGAGGCAAAGUGGGUCAGAGUACAAUCAGACCAUGAGGAUGGAGACCAGUGGGAGGAACCGGUGGGGCAGGGCAGAGCCAGGCGCCCUGGAAUUGCUGAGCACAGCCCUGCAAGGGAUCUUGAGAGAAAGCUAAAAAGCAGGAUGAGUGCAGGAGAGAAGCUGCAAGGAGAGCAAACGCGGGCAAGAGAAGCUCAUUCUUAGACAGAGGACCAGCCGACUGAACACAUUAUCUUUUAAUCCACUGCCUUUCAAUAGGCAGAAGUUUCGUUCCUUUAAACCUCAUUCAUAAAAGCAAUACAGACUUAAAUUAAUAUAUUUGCUCAUGGAAGCUUAGAGAGAGAGACUCAUGGCUGACUAGACUACUUCAGAUCAAAGGUUUCAGCAAAACAUACUUGGAAAUGGUAAUACAGGGAAUACAAUUUUAAGCCACUGAUAAGAUAAUGCUCGAUGCUAAUAGAACACUCGAUAUUUUCUAAGGAAUGGCAUCGUCUUUUUCCUCAGGCCUGAUGUCAUCACUUCCUACUUCAUCCAGAUCUUAGCACCAGGGUGAGCCCCACAGUCUGCCCUCCAAAGCCCUACAGCACUCCCUUUUUGCUUUUCUACUUCUCUUAUCCUCCAUGCAAACAGUCCGAACAUCCCAGCACUUUAUCCCUGUCCACUGUCAGUGUGUGUGCCCUGAAGACUCCCCGGUUCCAGAAAAUAGUAGCCUUAAAACAGUCACUUUUUUUUUCUGUUCUUUUCCCAACUUCAUACGAAUAUGGGUGUGUGUGUGUGUGUGUGUGUGUGUGUGUGUGUGUGUUCGCAUGAGUGGGUAUGCUAAUGCAUGCACUGUGUAUCUGUGCAAGUGGAGGCUAAUGUCAGGAACCAUCCUUGGUUAGUCUUCUACCUUAGUCACUACAGCAGUUGCUCAAUCAAAACCAAAGCUUGAUCGUGUACCUAGGCUUGCUAACAAGCUUGACGUGGCAAUCCGCAUCUCUGCCCUCCAGGUGGCAGGCAGCCCACCUGGCAUCUACGUGGAUUUCUGAAGAUCCAAUCUCUGCUCGUCCUGUUUGUAUGGUGUAGUGGUUUGAGUGAGAAUUGGUUCCGCAGGAUCAUCUAUUUGAAUACUUGAUCUCCAGUUGGUGCAACUGUUUGGGAAGGAUUAGGAGCUGUGUAAUUGUUGGAGACAUGCUGCAGGAUGGGCUGUGGGGUUUCACAAGCUUAUGCCAUUUCCAGUUAGCUCUCUCUGCUUCCUACUUGCUGACCAAGAUGCUGCUGCUCCAGCAUCGCGUCUGUUACCAUGAUCGCUGUCAUGGUGGUUUGACAUCGUAAGCCCCAAAUUAAAUUUUUCUUUUAUAUUGUCUUUGUCGUGGUGUCUUUAUCACAGUAAUAGAAAAGUAACUAAGACACAGGGCAAGUGUUUAACUGCUAAGCCAUCUCCCCAGACCCCUGUAUCUUUUCUUUGCCAUGCGGUGUGCUACCUUCGUGUGCUUUUAAGCGUUCUCAAGCUGUAUCGUCAUGUUCUGAGUCUACAACUUGCCACAUCUGGUCCGAUUCCCAUGACUAUUUACGACUCCAGAGAUCAGAUCAAGUAUGCCAGUGAAACUCUUGUGUGGGAAGGAAUAGCAGGGCUACUUCAGUGAUCUUCCAGAGCCAUGUUGCUCUACCUUUCUCCAGUUAAGUCUCUCUUCUAUGCUAGACCUUCUUGCUCCCACCACCGUGCGUUUCUUUGCCUUGCUGAACAGCCACCUCUGUGCAACAGACCUGCUAUUCUGCCUUGCCUUGGUUGGAGAAUUAGAAUGUUCAGCUUAGCCCAGGUCUUCAGACACUUCUCUGCCUUUUCUCUCCCAGGUAGUUCAUCUUCUCCCUGACAUCCUUUCAUGUAGGGCCCACAUUGUAGGCUAUCCAAAACUGUGUGUACUGACUAGAAUUGCUCCCAUGUCUCUCCAUAUUUCCAACUCUAGGUUGGUUGUGCUGACUUGGGACAGCCUAGCACCAUCUCAGCAUAUCUCCGUCCCUCCUCCUCCAAGCUCAUCCUCCCCUGUGAUUGCUGUUAGGGCACCACCUGGUAAUGUAGACCAGAUCUUGUCCUCCAACUUCGGCCCUCCUGGUUUCCAUCUUCCCCUUCUUCUGUAUGCAUAUAUCCCCUCACAGCCUCUUCUUCUUCUCAGACUUUAUCCCCAUGGCCUCCUAGAUGGGAAAUUGGUGAAGAAUCUACAAAAAUACUCACUAGUAGAAGCAGAAACUUCUGGGUCAGGACCAGGAAAUCCUAACGUGAAUAUUAAAGGUGAUGCACCUCUGUUGAUUCCUAACCUCGAUCCAGUUCAUAGACACAGAGCUCUUUGAGUGAAGGGGAGACAGAAGAGACCCCACAAUGCUGCCCACAUUGUCCACAUUGUAUGCUGUAAUCUCUCCUCUCCCAGUGUUCUUCCAUGGUAAAGUACUACACUGUAUUAGAAUAAAGGAAGCAAUUACACACUGGCCUGAGCUGACACUAAUUCCAUGAGACCCAAACCAUCCCUGUAACACUCCUGGUAGAGCAAGGCUGCAGUGCAUGAAAGCUGUUCUACUCAGAGCAAGGCCUUAAAGGAGUCGCACCAAGUAGAGCAAGGAAGGCCAUCUGGAGGUCAAGUGGCCACUCACGUGUAAUCCUCUUUUGUGUCUAUUCCCAUAGAGACUGAAGGUCCACACAACCACAGGGGUUUCCUACACGCUAUUCAGGCCAAAGUAUUUCUGCAAAGUUUGUAUUCCCUGCCUGAGAACUUCCACAGCUAAAGUUUCAAGGAAAAGGCCUGCGUUCCUUAGCCUGAGAGCUAGAGACUCCUCAAAGUCUUCCCUCUAUCAGGCAGUCUUGGCUUCAAAUCCUCACCCAGUACUCCCCUUUCCCCACCUCCCCCUCCCUUUCCUUCUCCCCCUUUCCCCAAAUACCAUCCCUAGAUGUUGCCUGCUCUCUAGACUUGUAUGCCUGGCUUUUUUUUUUUUUUUUUUUUUUUUUGGCUCCCUUCUCUGGAUUUCUGUGGUGCCUGUUUUUAGCACAAAUAUACCAUGUUCCCUUGUAAAAUGCUUUUCCUUCACUGUAGCUUACAAGAGCCAGGGAAAUGACCAAAAUGUGUGGAUGGAUUAACUCCCCAGAGUUGGGGAGGGAGAGGGUGUCUUUCUAUGGAUGGGCUGCGAACAGUCUUCAUAAACAAAAGAUUGCCUUGUUUAUACCUUUUGUCAGAGUCAGCAUUUUUUAAAUCUGCUUAAGGUGAAAUAAGUGCUUUUUGUUUAGGGAAAUCAUAUGGGAAACACAGAAAUAUGAAAUGUUCACUUUGUUUAAUGUAUAAGUCUAUUCCACGACAGGUGGCCUCUCAAAGCGCACAAAUAAAACAAAAUUGCUUGGCUCAAACCUAUCAGAGAAGGAAUAAGAGCCAGGUGGUGGGGCCAGGAGCAGAUGGGCAGUAUUUACUUAGAGCUUCAUAUUUUCUUCUUGCUAAGUGUCCCCCUGGUCAAAUACCUUCCUUCAUAUAUCAAAUAAACCUUCCAUGCCUUUGAAUAGACUUUUAUUACAAAGGUAUAUUCCUACACCCGGUUUCUCCUUUUUACAAAGUCAAGGGUAGAAAAACCAUAUGGUGCCCAUAGAGUGUGGAGUCUGGGCUAGCUUAAACAUUCCAAGCCUCUAUCCAGACUUUUCUUUGAAGUUUCCAAAUUUCACAGUCAGAAUUAAAAUAGCAUAAGAACUAAAUUGAAACUAGUAUGAGUCCCAGGAAUUUUUUUCUAUACCAAAUAAGGAGGCGUCUAUCCCGAUGGUCUGUGUGAACUAGGUAUAGUUGAGGCAGAUCUUUACAGUGAACUUCCCAAACAUCUGCACCCCUCUGCACCAGGCAGUCAUUCAGAGCCACAUAGGUCUUCAGGAAGCACUGUGGUCCUCUAUAAGCACCAGCCCUUGGCCAUCUUUAAAUUCUUCUCUCCAUUGGUCUAGAACUAUUAUGGCUCUGAUGUGUUUUUUUUCCUGAUGCUCAGACUGCUGUGUUCAUGUUUUUUCCAACAAAUAUUUAUGAAUUUUAUAGGUAGAAAACAAGUGUUCGCCCUCCUUCUCUCAACAAUUGGAUAUAUAGAAUUAGUUUCUUCUCUUUCUUACAUAUGUAUCUUUAGCAUGUUUUUAAUUCUUAGCAAUUGCCCAUUGCUGUCCAGAUACAGUAUCAGUGCUACAUAAUGCUAUCUCUUCAUGUGGUCCAAGAUCACAUAAGGGUUGAAGUAACUCUGAGUCCUUCAUCAAGAGAGAGAGAGGUACAGUUUGCACCAUCCAGGUGCCUCAGACUUCUUCUCAGAAGAGCUUCUGCCAUCAUGAGGUUAGACACGUAGACAGUGUGCUGUGAUAGAAGACGGACUUUAAGACUUACUAGGAAAGGCACAUCUUCAAAGGAAAAAGAGGUUUCCAGUGAGAACUGUUAAGCUCUUGAAAAGGUUUACAGAGAAAGCUGUGGUCUCGCCUUUCCUAGAAGCACUGAAGUCAAUACAUAGCAUCCCGCAGUCGUUGAAUGCUGACUUCUGUUGAGGUGCAAUGAAGCCUCCCAGCUCAGCACAUUCAACAUCCCACUAAUCCAUCUUACUGCAUAUUCCACAGGAGUCUCUUUGUGACUUACAAGAAACAAUGAGACAAACAUCAUUUUUCAUUUUUCUAGCUCCUUUUUUUGUUAGUUUUUAAAAUAAAAGAACCUAUGUUGCUUUUUUUUUUUUUUUUUGCCUCUCAUGGCAUUCAAAUUUAGCUUUUAUAUAAUUCACCCUCUCCCAGUAACUCAGGGUACAUUUGAGAGAGACACAUGCUAAAGCCAUAAACAAUGCUUACUUUUUUCCUAGAAGAUGGUGCAGCAGGAGUCCUACAGAAGAAAUUGAGGUGCGGAUUCCUUGGGACUCACCAGUGUUCUUUACGUGGCGUCAUCAUUAUUUAUAUACUUAUUUGUAUGGGAACAUGCACACUGCCACAUGGGUGCUGGCCUUUCCUUCUAUGCUGUGGAUUCUGGAGAAGGAACUGCAGUCGUCAUUCCCACUGAGCCAUCUCACCUCUCCCAGAGUGUUUUGAAAGUUUCUUUUCACAAGACUGUAGUGCUUUCCUGCUCUGUGCCUCACAUGGUGCUUGCUGGCUGCUGAACCGACUGAGAUACCUGAGAUGUGUUUUCUGCUCCAAAAGUGCUUACAAUCUUGCACAGAAGAGAAGGUGUCAUUAAAUAACUGCACAUGCUAUGAGGAAGUGUGAUUCUGUAUCACAGGAAGGCCAUGAGAUGAAGGAUAGCUUUGUUGCAGAAAUAUGGUUGGCAAUUUGAAUUUUUGCCUUUCCAGGCUAUGGCGUUUCUCCCUUGCUUUAUCUUUGUACCUUUCAAACACUAGGACAGUUAUUUAUUGGUAACUUUACCCACUCAUCCUCAACCAUCUCAUUUGUUGUCCCUUCUCUCCAUAGAUGCAGAUAGCCACAUUUUAUUUCUUGAGUAUAUGUCUAGUGUCUCCUUGUGCUACACACACACACAUUUAUAUGAAUAUAUACAUAUGUAAGUAUUCAUAUAUAGAGAUAUAUUUCUUCUUUUGUUCUUUCUUACACAAAACAAUGCUGUUUGUUAUUCAGACAGCUUGUUCACAUAACAGUGUAUUCUCGAGAUAGGAUGCCCUUCUUUUCUUCAUGGUUGAUAUGCUGCCUUCAUAGCAUCAACCUUCUGAGAGAUACCAGGUUGUAUCACUGAGGUACUCCAUAAUAGAGUGGCUUCAGCGACAGCUGUUUUAUUACUCCCUAGUUCUGUGGGUCAGCCAGUGGAUUUUCUGCUGGUCUUGCCAGAAUUUACAUGUGUAGAUACAGUCAUAAGGCUACGCUACUCCUACAGCCUUGCUUGUUCCAUGGUUGCCAUGGUUGCUGGUAGAUCCUUACAGCACCUGCAAUCAGUUCUCUCAGCAAGUUUACUUGGAAUACUUCAAAUGGGCCCAGAAACAAAAGGGGACUGUGCCCCAACAUGGAGGUACUGAGAAGCCGCCUUAUUGCCUUGUACUUGCUUACAUCUCAUUAGUGAAAAGAGAGCUAACCUCAGAGUCAGAGGAGAAAGGAAUGCAGAAUGAGCAGUUCCCUGGAGUCAUUACAGAACUCCAUAUAGCUAGCCAGCUCCUCAUUGCAGCAGGUAUAGUUAGUUAGCCAGCUCCCUAUCACAGUAGGUAUAGCUAGCCAGCUCCCCAUUGCAGCAGGUAUAGCUAGCCAGCUCCCCAUUGCAGCAGGUAUAGUUAGUUAGCCAGCUCCCUAUCACAGUAGGUAUAGCUAGCCAGCUCCCCAUUGCAGCAGGUAUAGCUAGCCAGCUCCCCAUUGCAGCAGGUAUAACUAGUUAACCAGCUCCCCAUUGCAGCAGGUAUAGUUAACCAGCUCCUGCUCAUGGACACCUGGCUAUUUCAGUCUCCUGGUGUUGUAAAUACUGCCCAGAAUAUCACUUUGCCAUAAUUCAGUUCAUAUGUGAACAUGGCAAAUCCCCAGAAUGGGAUUGUUGGGUUAAAGGGCAAAUGCUUUCCAAGUUAUCUAUGUAUUCUGUUUCUCUCGUGUUAUUUCUCUGGUUAUUUUAAGCCUGUGUUUUCUGUCACUGAUUUAGGGACUUUAAAACUGAAAAGAGUUUAAAAUUAGUUAAUUAUAAACUUAUCUUUAGAGAUAAAGAGACAGAGAGACAGAGAAACAGAAAGAGAGACAGAGACAGAGAUUAUGUGUAUAUUACAUGCGUGCGAAGAGGAAAGGCAAAGGAAGAUGUUGGGUGACUUUUUCUACCAUUCUUCACCUUAUCCUUUGAGAUAGACUCUCUGACUGAACCUAAGCUCACUAAUGUAGUUAGGCUCACUGACCAUUGAGAUCUGUCUGUUUUUGCCUCAAUACUGGAGUUAUGGGCACGUAAACUGAUGCCCUGAUUUUAUGUGGCUGCUGAGAAUUUGAACCUAGGUCUUCUGCUUUUACAGCAAGCACUCUUACUCAGUGAGACCUCUGCCCAGCUCCAAACUUACCUCUAAAAUAACCAAACAUGUGAAAUCUGUAAAUCAAAUGCUUUUGAAUAAAGUAACAUGUAUGUAAUAAGGAGAUAUGCCUCAUAUAUUGAUGCUUUGGGUCUUGCUCGAGAGUUACCAUAGAGGCAUUUAAAUUGCAUAUAGUAUCUCAGCAAGUAUACAUUUAAAAGCCUGAUGAUUUCUGUGACCUGUCCCAGUGUGUAUGUUACGUUAUAGCCAGGACAUAGACCUAGCAAACUGUGGCAAAUUUCCCCUUAAUGGAAUCUCAUUAGUGCAAUUUUGUGUUUCGUAUCUAACUCAGCUUCAGAGGGUGUCAAUUUGCUUGCCUUGCUCACUGGCACAUUUGCACCUUACUGGUGGUCCCACUUGAUUUAUUCCGUAAGAAACUUUUUUUUUAUUGAACAUAGUUUAUUUCUGGUUUCUGAUUAUUGGAGCACAUCCUAGAGUUUCGUUUUGCCUGUGAACUCAUGUCUGUUAGGUCUCAGGCGGCCCAAGUGUCCAGAAAUGAACUCAACCUGGACCACAGGAGGAUUUCUAGCAGUUAGAUAAAAGCCAGCAUUCUUCAGGAACUUGGGAAACCAGUUCCCAAUUGCCCAAAGGAGUCAUGUCCCUUAUCUCUGGCAGAAGAGACACAUGGCUCCACUGGCAUAUACCUGUGACUGCCUGUCUUGUAAGCAUUUGUGCUUCCAGGCACUCACAGUCCCACAGGUUCUUGUUCUACAUUU